AUGAACGCUGGCGGCGUGCCUAAUACCUGCAAGUCGAGCGAACAGACGAGGAGCUUGCUCCUCUGACGUUAGCGGCGGACGGGUGAGUAACACGUGGAUAACCUACCUAUAAGACUGGGAUAACUUCGGGAAACCGGAGCUAAUACCGGAUAAUAUAUUGAACCGCAUGGUUCAAUAGUGAAAGACGGUUUUGCUGUCACUUAUAGAUGGAUCCGCGCCGCAUUAGCUAGUUGGUAAGGUAACGGCUUACCAAGGCAACGAUGCGUAGCCGACCUGAGAGGGGGACGGGCCAAAGGGAAACGGAGACAGGGUCCAGACACCGAGGGGGGGCGAAAGGGGGGAAUUUUCCACAGAGGGGAAAGGCUGGAGGGAGCACCGCCGGGGGGUUGAUGAAGUUUUGGGUAUGUAAAAACUGUUUUAUUGGGAAAAAAAAAAGGUUUAAUAAAAUAUGCACUUCUGGAGGUUCCAUAACAAGAAACCCAGGGCAAACUCGGUC
RNAcentral lists this ribosomal RNA (496 nucleotides) under uncultured bacterium. RNAcentral's name for it is "partial 16S ribosomal RNA". It matches the Rfam family "Bacterial small subunit ribosomal RNA", at positions 30 to 507 of the family's 1533-position model. The record is from RNAcentral.